RNAcentral lists this ribosomal RNA (459 nucleotides) under uncultured bacterium. Its description in RNAcentral is "partial 16S ribosomal RNA". It matches the Rfam family "Bacterial small subunit ribosomal RNA", at positions 338 to 795 of the family's 1533-position model. The record is from RNAcentral.
CCUACGGGUGGCAGCAGUGAGGAAUAUUGGUCAAUGGGCGCGAGCCUGAACCAGCCAAGUCGCGUGAGGGAAGACGGUCCUAUGGAUUGUAACCCUCUUUUGUCGGAGAACAAAACCCGGGACGUGUCCCGGACUGCGUGUAUCCGAAGAAAAAGCAUAGGCUAACUCCGUGCCAGCAGCCGCGGUAAUACGGAGGAUGCGAGCGUUAUCCGGUUUUAUUGGGUUUAAGGGGUGGGUAGGCGGUCCGUUAAGUCAGCGGUAAAAUUGCGGGGCGCAACCCCGUCGAGCCGUGGAAACUGGCAGACUUGAGUGGGCGAGAAGUACGCGGAAUGCGCGGUGUAGCGGUGAAAUGCAUAGAUAUCGCGCAGAACUCCGAUUGCGAAGGCAGCGUACCGGCGCCAGACUGACGCUGAGGCACGAAAGCGUGGGGAUCGAACAGGAUUAGAUACCCCUGUAGUC